GAUGAAGAACGUAGCGAAAUGCGAUACGUAGUGUGAAUUGCAGAAUUCAGUGAAUCAUCGAAUCUUUGAACGCACAUUGCACCUCUCGGUAUUCCGGGAGGUAUGCCUGUUCGAGCGUCAUUUGUACCCUCAAGCUCUGCUUGGUGUUGGGUGUUUGUUCCGCCUCUGUGUGUGAACUCGCCUCAAAACAAUUGGCAGCCGGCGUACUUGUUUCGGAGCGCAGCACAUUUUGCGAUCCAGAUCAACGUACAGCGGCAUCCAAGAAGCCUUAUAACGCUCUUGACCUCGGAUCAGGUAGGGAUACCCGCUGAACUUAAGCAUAUCAAUAAGCGGAGGA
Molecule: unclassified non-coding RNA, 337 nt
Filed under: soil metagenome
Description: partial contains 5.8S ribosomal RNA, internal transcribed spacer 2, and large subunit ribosomal RNA
Rfam family: 5.8S ribosomal RNA (bases 1-120)
Source: RNAcentral